Molecule: ribosomal RNA, 1514 nt
Filed under: Francisella orientalis
Lineage: Bacteria; Pseudomonadati; Pseudomonadota; Gammaproteobacteria; Thiotrichales; Francisellaceae
Description: Francisella noatunensis subsp. orientalis 16S ribosomal RNA
Rfam family: Bacterial small subunit ribosomal RNA
Source: RNAcentral
AGAGUUUGAUCCUGGCUCAGAUUGAACGCUGGUGGCAUGCUUAACACAUGCAAGUCGAACGGUAACAGGUCUUCGGAUGCUGACGAGUGGCGGACGGGUGAGUAACGCGUAGGAAUCUGCCAUCUGUGGGGGAUACCAGUUGGAAACGACUGUUAAUACCGCAUAAUAUCUGCGGAUUAAAGGUGGCCUUUGCGCUGCCGCAGAUGGAUGAGCCUGCGUUGGAUUAGCUAGUUGGUGGGGUAAGGGCCUACCAAGGCUACGAUCCAUAGCUGAUUUGAGAGGAUGAUCAGCACAUUGGGACUGAGACACGGCCCAAACUCCUACGGGAGGCAGCAGUGGGGAAUAUUGGACAAUGGGGGAAACCCUGAUCCAGCAAUGCCAUGUGUGUGAAGAAGGCUCUAGGGUUGUAAAGCACUUUAGUUGGGGAGGAAAGCCUGUGAGUUAAUAGCUUGCAGGAAGGACGUUGCCCAAAGAAUAAGGACCGGCUAACUCCGUGCCAGCAGCCGCGGUAAUACGGGGGGUCCGAGCGUUAAUCGGAAUUACUGGGCGUAAAGGGUCUGUAGGUGGUUUGUUAAGUCAGAUGUGAAAGCCCAGGGCUCAACCUUGGAACUGCAUUUGAUACUGACAAACUAGAGUAUGGUAGAGGAAUAGGGAACUUCUGGUGUAGCGGUGAAAUGCGUAGAGAUCAGAAGGAACACCAAUGGCGAAGGCAACAUUCUGGACCAAUACUGACACUGAGGGACGAAAGCGUGGGGAUCAAACAGGAUUAGAUACCCUGGUAGUCCACGCUGUAAACGAUGAGUACUAGCUGUUGGAUUCGGUGUAAAGGAUCUAGUGGCGCAGCUAACGCGUUAAGUACUCCGCCUGGGGACUACGGCCGCAAGGCUAAAACUCAAAGGAAUUGACGGGGACCCGCACAAGCGGUGGAGCAUGUGGUUUAAUUCGAUGCAACGCGAAGAACCUUACCUGGUCUUGACAUCCUGCGAACUUUCUAGAGAUAGAUUGGUGCCUUCGGGAACGCAGUGACAGGUGCUGCACGGCUGUCGUCAGCUCGUGUUGUGAAAUGUUGGGUUAAGUCCCGCAACGAGCGCAACCCCUAUUGAUAGUUACCAUCAUUAAGUUGGGUACUCUAUUGAGACUGCCGCUGACAAGGCGGAGGAAGGUGGGGACGACGUCAAGUCAUCAUGGCCCUUACGACCAGGGCUACACACGUGCUACAAUGGGUAUUACAGAGGGCUGCGAAGGUGCGAGCUGGAGCGAAACUCAGAAAGGUACUCUUAGUCCGGAUUGCAGUCUGCAACUCGACUGCAUGAAGUCGGAAUCGCUAGUAAUCGCAGGUCAGAAUACUGCGGUGAAUACGUUCCCGGGUCUUGUACACACCGCCCGUCACACCAUGGGAGUGGGUUGCUCCAGAAGUAGAUAGCUUAACGAAUGGGCGUUUACCACGGAGUGAUUCAUAACUGGGGUGAAGUCGUAACAAGGUAGCCGUAGGGGAACCUGCGGCUGGAUCACCU